UCCGCGGUAAUUUUCCCACCACACAUGCACCCACCAGUAUCCACCACACAUGCACACAAGACACAACGCUUAAAAAUAGGAGCCAAAGGCAUCAGGAAGGUUCAAGCUCAAAGAGUCUUGAGCAUUUUCUAAAAACAUAUAUGGCUCUCUCUCUCUCCAGCUGUUUAACUGAGUAUUACUCUUCUCAAAACACCAACCAAGGAGAAGAUGCAGAUGAUGAUGAUGAUGGUGGUACAUUGAAAUUCCUGUGGAAGAUCACAAAGCAGGAAGAUUCAUAUAUGGAACACUCAUUUGAGCAAGAUACUACAUGUAACUUCCGUUUCUAGUGGAGGAAGAGGCUAUAUGGUUAGAGAGCCACAACCUAGGACCUUCAGCAAGCUGGUCCGGUUGAAGCAUAAUUAGUGGCUUCCUUGUGGCUCUGAUAGAACACAAGUGGUUUGGUCAAAGACAAUUAGAGGCUUCCUCGUGGCUCUGAUAGAACACAAGUGGUUUGUUCAGAAAUAAUUAGAGGCUUCUCUCGCGGUUAUUGAACAUAAGCAGGAAGUACAUCACCUUUAGACAUUUUUUUAUGAUCAUUACAUGGUGAUAUAUACUUUUUGCUACUCUACUUUCUUUCCAAACAAGAUAUUGUUUUUUUUUUUUUUUUUUUUUUUUUUUUUGAUAUGAACAAGAUAUUGUUUUAAGUGACAUGUGAAGCAACAAUGCAAAACCGUUUCAAUGGUCAGUUAGUAGUUCUUUUGUCAA
Quercus robur (English oak) is the source of this 744-nucleotide long non-coding RNA. RefSeq lists it as uncharacterized. The record is from RefSeq and is a predicted model, not a curated record. The transcript has 2 exons. NCBI's taxonomy places the organism in Eukaryota, Viridiplantae, Streptophyta, Magnoliopsida, Fagales, Fagaceae.